This 393-nucleotide ribosomal RNA is filed under the name uncultured bacterium. Its description in RNAcentral is "partial 16S ribosomal RNA". It matches the Rfam family "Bacterial small subunit ribosomal RNA", at positions 523 to 918 of the family's 1533-position model. The record is from RNAcentral.
CUACGGAGGAUCCGAGCGUUAUCCGGAUUUAUUGGGUUUAAAGGGUGCGCAGGCGGGAGAUUAAGUCGGCGGUGAAAUUUUGCAGCUCAACUGUAAAAGUGCCUUCGAAACUGGUUUCCUUGAGUGUAGAUGAAGUAGGCGGAAUUUGUGGUGUAGCGGUGAAAUGCAUAGAUAUCACGAGGAACUCCGAUUGCGCAGGCAGCUUACUAAACUACUACUGACGCUCAGGCACGAAGGCGUGGGGAUCAAACAGGAUUAGAUACCCUGGUAGUCCACGCAGUAAACGAUGAUUACUAGCUGUUUGCGAUACAAUGUAAGCGGCUGAGCGAAAGCGUUAAGUAAUCCACCUGGGGAGUACGUUCGCAAGAAUGAAACUCAAAUGAAUUGGCGGGG